GUAGGAGUCUGAACGAAGUCUGCCUGUAGUUGGAGUCAUGGGCAGAGUCCGGCUCCCGUAGGAGUCCGGAUGAAGUCUGCCUGCAGUUGGAGUCGUGGGUGGAGUCCGGCUCCCAUAGGAGUCCGGACGAAGUCUACCUGCAGCUAGAGUCAGGGAUGAGGUCCGGCCCCCGUAGGAGUCUGGGUAGAGUCUACCUGCAAUUAGAGUUAGGGGC
RNAcentral lists this long non-coding RNA (214 nucleotides) under Elaeis guineensis (African oil palm). RNAcentral describes it as "long non-coding RNA (EGUI_LNC043934)". The record is from RNAcentral. Lineage: Eukaryota; Viridiplantae; Streptophyta; Magnoliopsida; Arecales; Arecaceae.